This 74-nucleotide transfer RNA is filed under the name compost metagenome. RNAcentral describes it as "tRNA-Arg". It matches the Rfam family "tRNA". From Rfam's summary of the family: Transfer RNA (tRNA) molecules are approximately 80 nucleotides in length. Their secondary structure includes four short double-helical elements and three loops (D, anti-codon, and T loops). Further hydrogen bonds mediate the characteristic L-shaped molecular structure. tRNAs have two regions of fundamental functional importance: the anti-codon, which is responsible for specific mRNA codon recognition, and the 3' end, to which the tRNAs corresponding amino acid is attached (by aminoacyl-tRNA synthetases). tRNAs cope with the degeneracy of the genetic code in two manners: having more than one tRNA (with a specific anti-codon) for a particular amino acid; and 'wobble' base-pairing, i.e. permitting non-standard base-pairing at the 3rd anti-codon position. The record is from RNAcentral.
GCCGUCGUAGCUCAGCUGGAAGAGCACUGGACUUCUAAUCCAGUGGUCGCGGGUUCGAGUCCCGUCGUCGGUAC